Molecule: ribosomal RNA, 512 nt
Filed under: Guignardia sp. FLS-2010
Lineage: Eukaryota; Fungi; Ascomycota; Dothideomycetes; Botryosphaeriales; Phyllostictaceae
Description: eukaryotic LSU rRNA
Rfam family: 5.8S ribosomal RNA (bases 192-345)
Source: RNAcentral
CGCUACAACGCCGAAAUGACCUUCUCACCCUUGUGUACUCACUAUGUUGCUUUGGCGGGUCGACCUGGUUCCGACCCAGGCGGCCGGCGCCCCCAGCCUUAACUGGCCAGGACGCCCGGCUAAGUGCCCGCCAGUAUACAAAACUCAAGAAUUCAUUUUGUGAAGUCCUGAUAUAUCAUUUAAUUGAUUAAAACUUUCAACAACGGAUCUCUUGGUUCUGGCAUCGAUGAAGAACGCAGCGAAAUGCGAUAAGUAAUGUGAAUUGCAGAAUUCAGUGAAUCAUCGAAUCUUUGAACGCACAUUGCGCCCUCUGGUAUUCCGGAGGGCAUGCCUGUUCGAGCGUCAUUUCAACCCUCAAGCUCUGCUUGGUAUUGGGCAACGUCCGCUGCCGGACGUGCCUUGAAGACCUCGGCGACGGCGUCCUAGCCUCGAGCGUAGUAGUAAAAUAUCUCGCUUUGGAGUGCUGGGCGACGGCCGCCGGACAAUCGACCUUCGGUCUAUUUUUCCCAAGG